Molecule: non-coding RNA, 120 nt
Filed under: Helianthus annuus (common sunflower)
Lineage: Eukaryota; Viridiplantae; Streptophyta; Magnoliopsida; Asterales; Asteraceae
Source: RNAcentral
GAGAGCACAGUACGAUGAAAGUUGUAAGCUGUGUUCGGGGGGGGGGGGGGGGGUAUUGUCUAUCGUUGGCCUCUAUGGUAGAAUCAGUCGGGGGACCAGAGAGGCGGUGGUUUACCCUGU